RNAcentral lists this transfer RNA (131 nucleotides) under Aspergillus niger. Its description in RNAcentral is "tRNA-Asn". The stretch from base 66 to 123 matches the Rfam family "tRNA", at positions 9 to 63 of the family's 71-position model. Lineage: Eukaryota; Fungi; Ascomycota; Eurotiomycetes; Eurotiales; Aspergillaceae. The record is from RNAcentral.
GUCUCGGUGGCGCAAUUGGUAAGCUUUCACUUCCGAAAUUCAUCAUAUCUCUCAGUUACUAAUUCAGCAUUAAAGGUUAGCGCGUACGACUGUUAAUCGUGAGGUUGAGAGUUCGAUCCUCUCCCGGGACG